CGUCAGCUCGUGUCGUGAGAUGUUGGGUUAAGUCCCGCAACGAGCGCAACCCUUGUCACUAGUUGCCAUCAUUAGUUGGGCACUCUAGUGAGACUGACCGGUGGACAAACCGGAGGAAGGUGGGGAUGACGUCAAGUCCUCAUGGCCCUUAUGGGUAGGGCUUCACACGUCAUACAAUGGUCGGUACAGAGGGUUGCCAAGCCGCGAGGUGGAGCCAAUCCCUUAAAGCCGAUCGUAGUCCGGAUCGUAGUCUGCAACUCGACUACGUGAAGUCGGAAUCGCUAGUAAUCGCAGAUCAGCAUGCUGCGGUGAAUACGUUCCCGGGUCUU
This 329-nucleotide ribosomal RNA is filed under the name uncultured Thauera sp. RNAcentral's name for it is "bacterial SSU rRNA". It matches the Rfam family "Bacterial small subunit ribosomal RNA", at positions 1053 to 1382 of the family's 1533-position model. The record is from RNAcentral. Lineage: Bacteria; Pseudomonadati; Pseudomonadota; Betaproteobacteria; Rhodocyclales; Zoogloeaceae.